CGUGUUUAUGACGCAUAUACAUGUAUCUAUAGAUUAUCAAUACACUUAACUUGGCAAACGUUGUAUGACUUGAUUACUAUGGAUACUCCUACAUAUUUUUACCACGCGACCUCUGGGGAAAAAGCAGCUUUGAUACAGUGUUUUAAUACCCUGUGCCCACAGGUACACAACCCUUCCUUAGAAUGGAUGUGGUUGGUAAAGCACCGCCUUGACUUGGUACCACCCGGGUGUGGUUCUGUGCCACACUCUACAAUGGAGGUCUGCCAACAUUCUCUCCGUACGGCAAUAGCCGGGUGAGCAUUCCUAUUACAAGUGUAAUACAACAACUUGGAGGAAAUAUUAAACUAUAUGAAGGCGUGACUUAUUCGCUCAAUAACGGAAACACUAAUGUUAGAUUGAUGCUUGUGAGGGGAAACGACAAGCCUGAAAUAUUGCAGUACAUGAAAGAACUGGACAUCACCAACAAUCCUUGGCUAACACUAAACGUACUGACCGGAGAGAUCAGGGUUGCGAGAAGACCAAUAUGGGUGGAAAUCUACGUUCCGUAUAAUAUUAAUGUCAGUAACUGCAACUGGGAUAUCGUCCAACACAUGACGGGGUAUUAAAGAACAGGAACUCUCGCCAAAGGCACAUUUCCUUGUGAUUCUUCACCAAUGCUGUUGAACGUUUCUAAUCUUUCACUUCGAGAAGUUAUUCCGAAUGAAGUCAAUAUUCAAUAUUUAUUCAGAGUUAAUAUAAUAUAUUUACCGUAAAUUCCGUGCAGUGCUUUCCAUUACAAUCAGAAUACACAAAAAAUAAUAAUCAACAGUAACGACAGAACGUGAGUGGAUUCAAACUAAUGAAAAUAACCUUGAUAGAAAAACUAGAAUGAUAGACUGAAAUGAAAAUAUAUGAAUCUCAACACAGAAACAUUGAUACAAAAUGUAAUUUCGAUACGAGUAAACGUUGAUUUUUUUAUCAUCAUGUUUUUUUUUCUUUGCUUCCAACUAAAAUAAAUCAUAAUGAAGCCAUGUGGUUUCUUUAUGUGCUAUAAUGGGUUCACUUGAUUGAAGGAUUGUCUGUCUUUACUUGCUUCCAAAUGUAUAUAGAAUACACAGAUUUACACUCGAAAAUCAGUUCUGACAAAAUCAAAUGAACUGCUUCAAUAGGGUGACGGGCGGUAACUGUUUGACUUAUUGUUGGCCAUCACACCAACGUGGAGACACCUAUUACGUAACCACUUGUUUGACUUAUUGUUGGCCAUCACAUCAACGGGGAGACACCUAUUACGUAACUAAUUCAAAAUACACUUUCAAAUGAACUGAACAUUCCUCAGCGAAUUCGAACACAUUUUACAUACAACCUGAACUGCUCAUUUAAAUUAUUUUAUUGAUGUUUAGAGGAAAUAAUCAAAGAUUCCUGCUGAUUUUUUUUUUUUAAUUCUCGAACGCUUUAUAACAACAGCUAGUUGUGGUUUUAUUCCUCGAUUUAACUAGUUAUUGUAAUUAUUCUGUUACUUACACAACAAGUUUGGCAAAUGUCAGCAUCAAGAAUUUUAGCAAAUGUCAGCAUAAAAUUUUUAGCAAAUGUCAACAUCAAUUUUUUUGUUUUGUUUUUUGUUUGUUUAUGUCUUGUAUUAUGUAAUUUUUGUUUCCCCAAAAUAAACAAAAGAAUGGACAGUUCAAUUUCGAACCGAUACGGUAUAGUAUGAUAUGACAUACAAUGGAAAUUACAAAGCAAACAUAAAUAAACAUACAUAUAAUUCCCAAGUUAUUUAACUAUUAACAGUUAUACAUAUGUAUCAUUCACAAAAGAGGGGCCAUUUUGGCUAGGAAAAUGAUAAACCUGUCAGAACUCGUUGAUUGCAUAAUGAUAACAGAUCUUUAAACUUGUAAAUAUUUGUUUGAUUUCUAUAGAUCUAUUGUUUGAUUUCUAUAGGCUAUUUUUCGAAGACAAUACAUCAAAGGGAACCUAUUGUGUUCGAUUUAAAUGUCUAUUGUUAUCGAUUUGUAUGGCCUAUUGAAUUAGAGGUACACAGGUGUCCAGAGGUCCUUCGUUGAGAAAAUCACUGGUGCCCUACAUUACCUACCCAUGACUAUGACAUGAAUAGUCUUGUUUUUAAUGGUAAGGUACCAGUUCAAGUUUUCAAGUUUUAUUCAUUCACUCCGACACACUUACGUGUGUAACAAGGGGUCACACACAUAUAGUAAAUAUGAUACAUGGCGUGUGAUGAUUAGUACAAAAUUUUCAACAUUUUCUGCAAAUAAUGAUAAUUGACUAUAGCAUAGUUACAGAGAGAAGGAACACAAACUUGUACAGAAAUUAAGUUUAUAUUUUUUCAAUCCUUUCUAGGAAUCUGCAAACUUUUGUGUACAUUUUUACAAUAAAUAUAUGAAACAAUC
This 2381-nucleotide long non-coding RNA is filed under the name Mizuhopecten yessoensis (Yesso scallop). RNAcentral's name for it is "uncharacterized LOC110449329". The record is from RNAcentral. Lineage: Eukaryota; Metazoa; Mollusca; Bivalvia; Pectinida; Pectinidae.